CCUACGGGUGGCAGCAGUGGGGAAUAUUGGGCAAUGGGCGCAAGCCUGACCCAGCAACGCCGCGUGAAGGCAGAAGGCUUUCGGGUUGUACACUUCUUUUAAGAGGGAAGAGCAGAAGACGGUACCUCUUGAAUAAGCCACGGCUAAAUACGUGCCAGCAGCCGCGGUACUACGUAGGUGGCAAGAGUUGUCCGGAUUUACUGGGUGUAAAGGGCGUGUAGCCGGGCUGACAAGUCAGAUGUGAAAUUCCGGGGCUCAACCCCGGACCUGCAUUUGAAACUGUUGGGCUUGAGUAUCGGAGAGGCAGGCGGAAGUCCUAGUGUAGCGGUGAAAUGCGUAGAUAUUAGGAGGAACACCAGUGGCGAAGGCGGCCUGCUGGACGACAACUGACGGUGAGGCGCGAAAGCGUGGGGAGCAAACAGGAUUAGAUACCCGUGUAGUC
RNAcentral lists this ribosomal RNA (442 nucleotides) under uncultured bacterium. RNAcentral describes it as "partial 16S ribosomal RNA". It matches the Rfam family "Bacterial small subunit ribosomal RNA", at positions 338 to 795 of the family's 1533-position model. The record is from RNAcentral.